AAGCUGCUGAGCUGAUCGUCCACCACACAGCGAGUGUCCUCCCCAGUGCUGCCAAGUGGACCCAGGAACAGCCGGCCAUCUUUGGUGUAUCGUCCCAACUGGAGGAGAAACCCAAACCGGCUCAGGGAACAAGACCCCCCGCACGCACGCACACACACACACACACUCUCACUCACUCACACACACUGGUGGCGGAGGCGAGGCCUUAUGUCGUGCCCAAGGACACAACAGCAUUCUCUGGUGGGAGCGGGAUCAAACCUACAACCUUACUGGACAACCCGCUCUACCUCUACCUACUGGGACAGCAGAAGCUCAGGAGGGUGGUGCUCCCCCCUAUCUGGCCACUCUCCUGAACAGACAUUCCCCAUCACGCGCUCUGCGCUCCUCUGACCAAGGCCUGCUCGCUGUCCCUCGUUCUAGGUGUCGUACCCGUGGGGACCGGGCUUUCUCAGUCCUAGCACCGUCACUAUGGAACCAGUUGCCACCCUCAGUUAGGCUGUCCCCCUCUCUGCCAGUCUUUAAGAAUCACCUAAAAACGCACCUCCUCCGCUUGGCGUUUCUGGAACAUGUUUGAUUUUGGCCCUCUUUUAUGUUGAAUCCAUUCCACAGUUUUCAUUGGUACACUCAAUCCAUCCACUCAAUCCAAAUGUGUUUCACACAUUUCUCCUUUACCGGACUGCUUCAUCUAUCUUGUAAUUUGUAUUUUGUAAUUUGAAUUUCUUUUAUUGUUGAUUUAUUCAAUAUAUUUACUUAACUGUACCAUGUUCAGCGCUUUGGGCUUCCUGACAGGGUUGCGGAAGGCGCUUUAUAAAUAAAGCUUUGAUUGAUUGAUGAACACAGCUGAUUUGUUUCGUUUAGUGAUGAAUCCCUCCUGUAGACACUAAUGAAGGGAAGACUUCUCAGCUGUUAGACUAAGGUGUUAAAAAGACAAACGCACAGCGAGGAGAUGGUUUCAUUUUCGGUUUAACCACAGAGAAUUAAUAACGGACACUAGGGGGUGCUAAAUCAAAUCAAAUCAAAGAUACUUUAUUAAUUCUAGAGUGAUAUUAGAGUUUCAGUACACACAAUUCAGAGAUGAGACAUUCAUGGGCAAGACACGUGACAAGAACUGGUGACUGUGGUCAUUCACAACCCUGAGUCGCGCUACCUUAAUAGAGAUCAGAGGGUUACAUGAGGAUUGGUUCAGGUGGAGGGAAAAAGGCACUUCAGAGUUACCCUCCACCAGGAGGGCAGCUUUGCUCUGCAAAAAAACACCUCAGACAGAUAUGCAACAGACUUCAGACAACACAACAUAAGUGUCCACUAGGUGGGGUGGUGGGUUGGGACUAUCCCCACUUCAGUUCCUGCAGCCACGAUAAGCAGCGCAUGUCACCUCAGUGUGGAUAGGGGGAGGAGCAUUGAGGGUUGGAGGGUUGCAGUGACCCUGGAAUGCUUCAGCGGCCUUCCUGCAGUCCCGCCCAGGCUGGGAAAGGAGAGAGUUGAGUUGCCAUAGCGACGGCACAUUCCACAUAUCUUGUGAGGGGGGAGUUUUCGUUGUAGCCUUGCAGGCUCAAGGGCGCCAGAUUCCGACUAGAAAUUGUUUUGGGGCCAGACGGAGAUAAUUUCCUCUCUGUCUUACAGUUUGUUGGUCCUCAACCUCUCAAAAUCCCAAUAAUGGACAUUAAUCUAUCCCAAUCCGUGCUGAUUCGUCCACUCUCUCCUUGAUGGCAUCCAUCUUCUGUGCCAAAAAAUGAAUCUCCACCAAAGUCCCAAGCUUACGAUUCAUCUUGACAUUUAUGUGAGUCUGUGAAUUCACAGCGCGGUGCAAACCAUCUCUGAGCUCUGGGAGCAGGCCAAUAUUCCUCGACAGCUCAUUAAUUUUCCGGCAAGCCAGGUAGCCUCCAAGGCUGAUAAGCAGGAAACCCGACACCAACACCACGAAUAUCCACACGUCUUCAGAGUCCUCCACAGACAGCUGAGAUAAACAAAUCAAGUUCCACUGUUUCCAGGAGUCCAUGAUGUGUCCAACUGGGUCUGUCCCGGUGGGACAUCCGGGAGUCCCUUCUCCCGUUCUCAUCGUUGAAAUUUUUUUUAUCAAUCACGUUGAGAGACCAGCUAACGAGAUCCAUUUUAGUGAAUUUCAGUUUCCAGAAAAAAAUGCAGAAGCAGCCGUGCACCCAGCACACAGAGACAGACAAAGGCGUUGAGGAUAAGAUAUGGAGGAGAGGAGGAAAAGAAGCGUCUGCACCCUCCGAGAGCCGGAAGAAGAAAGAAAAAAGCAAGCAAACUGCCAAAUAUGCCUUUAAGGAUGUUUUGUGUAAUUUCUUUUAGACUUUUCCCACAAUCACAAGCAUUGACUGUUUUACUUCAGUUGAAUCUGAGAGGAUCAGCAGCAGUAAUCGGGUAUGUUCUGUGUGAUUAGUUUAUUCAAGUGUUGGUGCUGCUGUAACAAGUUGAUGUCCCACUGUGGAACCAAUAGUCUAUUCUAUUCUAUUCUAUUCUAUUCUAUUCUAUUCUAUUCUUCAUGUUUGUUUCUAUUAAUUACCUCAGAAACGUUAACCCCGCCAUAUCCAGACCCAAAACUAGUUGCUUUUAUGAGUGAAUUUUAGCUCAGCUAAAAACCUUCAAACAGGAAACAUUUUGUUCUGGCUUGGUUUGGACCUCCGUUGCUGUAGGAAACACAUCGAUGACAUAGCUCUCACCUUUACCUUCAAAGCUUUGAUGGUCUCGGGUCUUUAUUCCCCCUUUCUUCACACCCGUCUCUGCUUUUCGUUCUGGUAGAUUACUCCUUCCAUUUCUUUCGGAUAUGCAUUAUUCCCUCUCCUCUAGUCUGUCCGACCUCAUUUAUCUCAGGACC
Molecule: non-coding RNA, 2836 nt
Organism: Nothobranchius furzeri (turquoise killifish)
Lineage: Eukaryota; Metazoa; Chordata; Actinopteri; Cyprinodontiformes; Nothobranchiidae
Source: RefSeq, a predicted model, not a curated record